CCUACGGGAGGCAGCAGUGGGGAAUAUUGCACAAUGGGGGAAACCCUGAUGCAGCGAAGCCGCGUGAGUGAAGAAGUAAUUCGUUAUGUAAAGCUCUAUCAGCAGGGAAGAAAAUGACGGUACCUGAGUAAGAAGCCCCGGCGAAAUACGUGCCAGCAGCCGCGGGAAUACGCAGGGGGCAAGCGUUAUCCGGAUUUACUGGGUGUAAAGGGAGCGUAGGCGGCAGUGCAAGUCUGGAGUGAAAGGCGGGGGCUCAACCCCCGGACUGCUGUUGAAACUGUGCGGCUUGAGUGCAGGAGAGGUAAGUGGAAUGCGUGGUGUAGCGGUGAAAUGCGUAGAUAUUAGGAAGAACACCGGUGGCGAAGGCAGCGUACCGGACUGUAACUGACGUUGAGGCUCGAAAGCGUGGGGAGCGAACAGGAUUAGAUACCCCGGUAGUC
RNAcentral lists this ribosomal RNA (440 nucleotides) under uncultured bacterium. RNAcentral describes it as "partial 16S ribosomal RNA". It matches the Rfam family "Bacterial small subunit ribosomal RNA", at positions 338 to 795 of the family's 1533-position model. The record is from RNAcentral.